AGAGCGAACGCUGGCGGCAGGCUUAACACAUGCAAGUCGAGCGCCCCGCAAGGGGAGCGGCAGACGGGAGAGUAACACGUGGGAACGUACCUUUCGGUUCGGAACAACCCAGGGAAACUUGGGCUAAUACCGGAUACGUCCGUAAGGAGAAAGAUUUAUCGCCGAAAGAUCGGCCCGCGUCUGAUUAGCUAGUUGGUGAGGUAACGGCUCACCAAGGCGACGAUCAGUAGCUGGUCUGAGAGGAUGAUCAGCCUCACUGGGACUGAGACACGGCCCAGACUCCUACGGGAGGCAGCAGUGGGGAAUAUUGGACAAUGGGCGCAAGCCUGAUCCAGCCAUGCCGCGUGGUGAUGAAGGCCCUAGGUUGUAAAGCCUUUCGGCGGGAAGAUAAGUGACGGUACCCGCGAGAAGAACGCCCCGGCUAACUUCGUGCCAGCAGCCGC
This 443-nucleotide ribosomal RNA is filed under the name uncultured bacterium. RNAcentral describes it as "SSU rRNA". It matches the Rfam family "Bacterial small subunit ribosomal RNA", at positions 26 to 518 of the family's 1533-position model. The record is from RNAcentral.